AUUGAACGCUGGCGGCAGGCCUAACACAUGCAAGUCGAACGAGUGGCGGACGGGUGAGUAAUGUCUGGGAAACUGCCCGAUGGAGGGGGAUAACUACUGGAAACGGUAGCUAAUACCGCAUACCAUCGGAUGUGCCCAGAUGGGCUUAGCUAGUAGGUGGGGUAACGGCUCACCUAGGCGACGAUCCCUAGCUGGUCUGAGAGGAUGACCAGCCACACUGGAACUGAGACACGGUCCAGACUCCUACGGGAGGCAGCAGUGGGGAAUAUUCCGCAAUGGGCGAAAGCCUGAGUCAGCCAUGCCGCGGGUAUGAAGAAGGCCUUCGGUUUGUAAAGUACUUUCAGCGAGGAAGCGUUACUCACAGAAGAAGCACCGGCUAACUCCGUGCCAGCAGCCGCGGUAAUUC
RNAcentral lists this ribosomal RNA (406 nucleotides) under uncultured bacterium. RNAcentral's name for it is "partial 16S ribosomal RNA". It matches the Rfam family "Bacterial small subunit ribosomal RNA", at positions 30 to 526 of the family's 1533-position model. The record is from RNAcentral.